CCUACGGGAGGCAGCAGUGAGGAAUAUUUGUCAAUGGUCGGGAGACUGAACCAGCCAAGCCGCGUGAGGGAUGAAGGUACAGAGUAUCGUAAACCUCUUUUGUCAGGGAACAAAGGCUGGUACGUGUCCCCGGAUGAGUGUACCUGAAGAACAAGCAUCGGCUAACUCCGUGCCAGCAGCCGCGGUAAUCCGGAGGAUGCGAGCGUUAUCCGGAUUUAUUGGGUGUAAAGGGUGCGCAGGCGGUCUGUUAAGUCAGCGGUCAAAGCCCGGGGCUCAACCCCGGCCCGCCGUUGAAACUGGCAGGCUCGAGUUGGAGAGAGGUAUGCGGAAUGCGCGGUGUAGCGGUGAAAUGCAUAGAUAUCGGGCAGAACUCCGAUUGCGAAGGCAGCAUGCCGGGUCGACACUGACGCUGAGGCACGAAAGCGUGGGUAUCGAACAGGAUUAGAUACCCGUGUAGUC
Molecule: ribosomal RNA, 459 nt
Filed under: uncultured bacterium
Lineage: Bacteria
Description: partial 16S ribosomal RNA
Rfam family: Bacterial small subunit ribosomal RNA
Source: RNAcentral